GGAGCGGUGGCUGGGUGGUUAAAGCAUGGUGAACCGUCUGGCAACGUGGAUCCAAAGUCCGCCGGUUCGACUCCGGCUCGCUCUG
Fusarium fujikuroi IMI 58289 is the source of this 85-nucleotide transfer RNA. It matches the Rfam family "tRNA". From Rfam's summary of the family: Transfer RNA (tRNA) molecules are approximately 80 nucleotides in length. Their secondary structure includes four short double-helical elements and three loops (D, anti-codon, and T loops). NCBI's taxonomy places the organism in Eukaryota, Fungi, Ascomycota, Sordariomycetes, Hypocreales, Nectriaceae. The record is from Rfam.